Molecule: ribosomal RNA, 430 nt
Filed under: uncultured bacterium
Lineage: Bacteria
Description: partial 16S ribosomal RNA
Rfam family: Bacterial small subunit ribosomal RNA
Source: RNAcentral
GUGGGGAAUAUUGCACAAUGGGCGGAAGCCUGAUGCAGCAACGCCGCGUGCGGGAUGACGGCCUUCGGGUUGUAAACCGCUUUCAGCAGGGACGAAGCGCAAGUGACGGUACCUGCAGAAGAAGCACCGGCUAACUACGUGCCAGCAGCCGCGGUGAUACGUAGGGUGCGAGCGUUGUCCGGAUUUAUUGGGCGUAAAGAGCUUGUAGGCGGUUGGUUGCGUCGAAAGUGCAAACUCAGGGCUUAACUCUGAGCCUGCUUUCGAUACGGGCUGACUGGAGGAAGGUAGGGGAGAAUGGAAUUCCCGGUGGAGCGGUGGAAUGCGCAGAUAUCGGGAGGAACACCAGUGGCGAAGGCGGUUCUCUGGACCUUUCCUGACGCUGAGAAGCGAAAGCGUGGGGAGCAAACAGGCUUAGAUACCCUGGUAGUCC